This is a long non-coding RNA of Juglans microcarpa x Juglans regia, 2281 nucleotides long. RefSeq lists it as uncharacterized. The transcript is spliced from 7 exons. The record is from RefSeq and is a predicted model, not a curated record. Lineage: Eukaryota; Viridiplantae; Streptophyta; Magnoliopsida; Fagales; Juglandaceae.
AUCCCUCUGCAGCCUCCUCUCACCGCCACUACUCUCUCUUCUCUCUCUCUCUCUCUCUCUCUCUCUCUCUCCCCUACCGAGAAGGCGAAAUCACUAAAGACCGAAGGAAAGAAAGAGGUCGGCGGAUCUACACCGUAACAAUUGUUUGCUCAGUAUCUUUUGAUGUUGCUGGUGGUGGUUGCAGAACACGGUGGCGGAUUGGACACAAGAAAGGUCAGGUGAGGCUCACGGUGGUGUUUUCACAGUGGAGAAGAAUGAGUGUUCUGUUUAUGGGUUGGUUGAAUAGGGGCUUGUGGACGCUACGGUGGCUCACAUGGGUGGCGACAGUAGCUCACGUGGGUGGUUGAGGACGUGAUGAGGCUGAGCAAGGCUGAGCUUCCCCUCAAGCGGUGUUGUCCGAUGGUAGUGGGUCUUGGUAUUUGGUGGUUGAAGUGUGAUGGUUGUGCUACAGUGUAUAUUAGAAUGGCCUGAAGCUGCUUCUCAAUUUGUUUGUUGUGAGGACAUAGGGUGGCUUGUUGGUCGUGCAUGGAGGAUCUGGUUUGAUGUGGGGCUUCCUACGGAGUUCCCUAAGGGAGAUAUAUGGCCCUGGUGAUUUGAUUUUUUCAUCACACAUGAUUUUUACGUUAGUAUUUGUUCUAACAUAGAAGAAAUAAGGCACAAUAAGGUGGAGACAGAGGGGUUGACUUCAUCAGGCAUACGAGAUUUUUUUUUUAGAUGUACCUCAAGCAAUUUGCUUGGUUACUUGCCAUUAUUCUGAGCCUCUUGAUUAUAGCCUCUCAUAGGCAUUACAUAGUCAACAUUGUUGUCACUUGGUAUACUAUAAAUUUGACAAGUUCUUUCUUUAUAAGAAAUUGCCAAGUUAACUUUAGCAUUUGCAUCUUCUUUUUAAACUUAUUUACGCAUUAGGUUCUGGUGGAAUUCAAACUUAUUCUCGUUAGUAGCAUCAAUAUUUAUUCUUUAUGCACAAUACGUCCACCAAGAUUAUCCAAAACUCGUAUCACUUGUCAACACUAGACCAAACUUUAAAAGCAUUUACUUUAAUUUUUGCUGGGAAUGCCUAAUCUCCAUUUGUGUGACUCUGUUUUCUCCAUUUUAGAAUUGUCGGAUCGUUCAAGUAGCUCUGCACCUCCACUUCUACUACCUUGAGAACCAAUAGAGAAUCUGGAGAUCAUGAACAAAAAAGAACUUACAGAUUCCUUAAUGGGAAAACUGUCUGACAAUAUAUCUCCCUUAUAUUUCUCUGUCUGACAACACAGAAAAACACUGAUGAGCAGUGUUUUGUCUUCGAAGGGAUGUUAAUGGGGUUCUAUGCGGCUCCAGCUAAUUAUAAAGAAAGUGAAGGUGUUCACCACCUCACAUGGAAAAGUAAUGGACCUGUUUUUCAUCUCAGAUACAAGGUUCUAUGUUCUUGUACAAUCUGUCAGAAAUCCACAUCUUGUGUUUUCUUUUUCUAGCAUUUCUUCUAUUUAAUCUAUUGCAAGUUUAUUGUUGUAGUUAAGUGGUAGUUGUUGGAUGCUAAAAAUUGAUUUCACAUCUCAUUUGAAAUUGUGCUAAUAUUUCCGUACAAACUGAUACUAUCUCAUUUAGAAAUUAUAUGAAAAAGAGACUUAUGCAGUCCAACUAGUUGGGUAAAAAUCAUAUUUUAUCGUAAAUGUUUAAAUGUUAAAAGUCGUUUAAACAAAUCUGUCAUUACGAUAUAAAAAUUGACUUGUUGGAAAUGAGGAGCUGACAAUUAAAUCAGGUUAGAAUAUAAAUAAACAAUCAUGAGGGGUAGCUCAGCUUAUCCGGCCUUGGGUUUGCUCCCUAAUGAUCAUCAGUUUGAGUCCCCUUAGAGCCACUGAAGGUUUACCUGGUCGUUAACUUAAGGGCUACAUGUGAUUAGUUGAUGUACGCACAAGCUGGCCCAGACACUCUCGUUUAUCAAAAAAAAAGAAAAGAAAAAAAGAAUAGAAAUAAAUAAAUAAAAGAAUGAUAUGUGGUGUUCUACAUACUUCCUAUUAUUAAUUUUAUUUAAUUAUCCAUUGUAUUUCCUUUUUGGUGAGAUGAGCCCGAGUUUAGUCUCACACACACCCUAAUAUCUGUACAAAGAGUUUGUUCUGACAUAUAAGGAAUACGACACAAUAAGAAAUAGUCAUUCUCAAUUGCUUCUUAUGCUUGUGCAUGACAAUUGUCUUUCUUGUUUCCCAAUUGCAGGUAUAGGUGGAGGCAGAGGGGCUUCACCAGGCAUACGAGAUUUUUUUUUUCCAAUGGCAUUAUUAAAAUAAGUUAUUGGUUCUAUUUA